This 259-nucleotide unclassified non-coding RNA is filed under the name uncultured Microdochium. Its description in RNAcentral is "sequence contains ITS2". Lineage: Eukaryota; Fungi; Ascomycota; Sordariomycetes; Xylariales. The record is from RNAcentral.
AACGCACAUUGCGCCCAUUAGUAUUCUAGUGGGCAUGCCUGUUCGAGCGUCAUUUCAACCCUUAAGCCUAGCUUAGUGUUGGGAGACUGCCUAAUACGCAGCUCCUCAAAACCAGUGGCGGAGUCUGUUCGUGCUCUGAGCGUAGUAAUUCUUUAUCUCGCUUCUGUAAGCCGGUCAGACGACAGCCAUAAACCGCACCCUUCGGGGGCACUUUUUAAUGGUUGACCUCGGAUCAGGUAGGAAUACCCGCUGAACUUAA